GAGGAAUAUUGGUCAAUGGACGGAAGUCUGAACCAGCCAAGUAGCGUGCAGGAUGACGGCCCUCUGGGUUGUAAACUGCUUUUAGUUGGGAAUAAAAAAGAGGACGUGUCCUCUAUUGUAUGUACCUUCAGAAAAAGGACCGGCUAAUUCCGUGCCAGCAGCCGCGGUAAUACGGAAGGUCCAGGCGUUAUCCGGAUUUAUUGGGUUUAAAGGGAGCGUAGGCGGAUUAUUAAGUCAGUGGUGAAAGACGGUGGCUCAACCAUCGUUAGCCAUUGAAACUGGUAGUCUUGAGUGCAGACAGGGAUGCUGGAACUCGUGGUGUAGCGGUGAAAUGCUUAGAUAUCACGAUGAACUCCGAUCGCGAAGGCAGGUGUCCGGGCUGCAACUGACGCUGAGGCUCGAAAGUGUGGGUAUCAAACAGGAUUAGAUACCCUGGUAGUCCACACAGUAAACGAUGUAUACUCGCGGUUUGCGAUAUAUUGUAAGCCGCCAAGCGAAAGCAUUAAGUAUACCACCUGGGGAGUACGCCGGCAACGGUG
This 539-nucleotide ribosomal RNA is filed under the name uncultured bacterium. RNAcentral describes it as "bacterial SSU rRNA". It matches the Rfam family "Bacterial small subunit ribosomal RNA", at positions 356 to 896 of the family's 1533-position model. The record is from RNAcentral.